AGAGUUUGAUCAUGGCUCAGGAUGAACGCUGGCGGCGUGCCUAACACAUGCAAGUCGAGCGGCAGCGCGAGUAGUUUACUACUUGGCGGCGAGCGGCGGACAGCUGAGUAACGCGUGGGAACGUGCCCCAAAGUGAGGAAUAACUGCCCGAAAGGGUAGCUAAUACCGCAUAUUAUCUUCGGAUCAAAGGAUUUAUCCGCUUUGGGAGCGGCCCGCGUCGGAUUAGGUAGUUGGUGAGGUAAUGGCUCACCAAGCCGACGAUCCGUAGCUGGUCUGAGAGGAUGACCAGCCAGACUGGAACUGAGACACGGUCCAGACUCCUACGGGAGGCAGCAGUGAGGAAUCUUCCACAAUGGGCGAAAGCCUGAUGGAGCAACGCCGCGUGCAGGACGAAGGCCUUCGGGUUGUAAACUGCUUUUAUAAGUGAGGAAUAUGACGGUAACUUAUGAAUAAGGAUCGGCUAACUACGUGCCAGCAGCCGCGGU
Molecule: ribosomal RNA, 485 nt
Filed under: TM7 phylum sp. oral clone 12-62
Lineage: Bacteria; Candidatus Saccharimonadota
Description: bacterial SSU rRNA
Rfam family: Bacterial small subunit ribosomal RNA
Source: RNAcentral